AUUGAACGCUGGCGGCAUGCUUUACACAUGCAAGUCGAACGGUAACAGGUUAAGCUGACGAGUGGCGAACGGGUGGGUAAUGCAUCGGAACGUGCCCGAUCGUGGGGGAUAACGCAGCGAAAGCUGCGCUAAUACCGCAUACGAUCUGAGGAUGAAAACGGGGGACCGUAAGGCCUCGCGCGAUCGGAGCGGCCGAUGUCAGAUUAGGUAGUUGGUGGGGUAAAGGCCCACCAAGCCGACGAUCUGUAGCUGGUCUGAGAGGACGACCAGCCACACUGGGACUGAGACACGGCCCAGACUCCUACGGGAGGCAGCAAUGGGGAAUUUUGGACAAUGGGCGAAAGCCUGAUCCAGCAAUGCCGCGUGCAGGAAGAAGGCCUUCGGGUUGUAAACUGCUUUUGUACGGAGCGAAAAGGUCCUUUCCAAUACAAGGGGCUCAUGACGGUACCGUAAGAAUAAGCACCGGCUAACUACGUGCCAGCCGCCGCCGUAA
Molecule: ribosomal RNA, 493 nt
Filed under: uncultured bacterium
Lineage: Bacteria
Description: partial 16S ribosomal RNA
Rfam family: Bacterial small subunit ribosomal RNA
Source: RNAcentral